RNAcentral lists this ribosomal RNA (328 nucleotides) under uncultured eukaryote. RNAcentral describes it as "partial 18S ribosomal RNA". It matches the Rfam family "Eukaryotic small subunit ribosomal RNA", at positions 1470 to 1796 of the family's 1831-position model. The record is from RNAcentral.
CCCUUAGAUGUCCUGGGCCGCACGCGCGUUACACUGAUGCAUUCAACGAGCUUAUAACCUUGGCCGAGAGGCCUGGGCAAUCUUGUUAACGUGCAUCGUGAUAGGGAUAGAUUAUUGAAAUUAUUAAUCUUGAACGAGGAAUUCCUGGUAAACGCAGAUCAUCAAUCUGCAUUGAUUACGUCCCUGCCCUUUGUACACACCGCCCGUCGCACCUACCGAUUGGAUGGUCCGGUGGAGCCUCGGGAUUGUGGUUCUUGCCGCUUUAUUGUGGCGUGACCGCGAGAACUUGUCUAAACCUUAUCAUCUAGAGGAAGGUGAAGUCGUAACA